GACGAACGCUGGCGGCGUGCUUAACACAUGCAAGUCGAACGGAAAGGCCCUGCUUUUGUGGGGUGCUCGAGUGGCGAACGGGUGAGUAACACGUGAGUAACCUGCUCUUGACUUUGGGAUAACUUCAGGAAACUGGGGCUAAUACCGGAUAGGAGCUCCUGCUGCAUGGUGGGGGUUGGAAAGUUUCGGCGGUUGGGGAUGGACUCGCGGCUUAUCAGCUUGUUGGUGGGGUAGUGGCUUACCAAGGCUUUGACGGGUAGCCGGCCUGAGAGGGUGACCGGCCACAUUGGGACUGAGAUACGGCCCAGACUCCUACGGGAGGCAGCAGUGGGGAAUAUUGCACAAUGGGCGGAAGCCUGAUGCAGCAACGCCGCGUGCGGGAUGACGGCCUUCGGGUUGUAAACCGCUUUCGCCUGUGACGAAGCGUGAGUGACGGUAAUGGGUGAAGAAGCACCGGCUAACUACGUG
RNAcentral lists this ribosomal RNA (468 nucleotides) under uncultured bacterium. RNAcentral's name for it is "partial 16S ribosomal RNA". It matches the Rfam family "Bacterial small subunit ribosomal RNA", at positions 28 to 507 of the family's 1533-position model. The record is from RNAcentral.